Molecule: long non-coding RNA, 2778 nt
Filed under: Manihot esculenta (cassava)
Lineage: Eukaryota; Viridiplantae; Streptophyta; Magnoliopsida; Malpighiales; Euphorbiaceae
Description: long non-coding RNA (MESC_LNC003024)
Source: RNAcentral
ACUGACACUGUGAUUCAAAAUAAAUCCUAGCCGUUAAUUUCAGCAAUCACAGUUUAAUCUCAGCCUUCAAUCUCAUUCCGACUUCUAUAAAUAUCACUCCACCUCCCUCCGUUGGAUUCUCGCCUUGGGUGAUAGGUUUCAAGAUGGUGGUCGGUGGUGGAGGAUCUGGUUAAUUCUGGUUUUUUCUUCUAUUUUCUGCUAGACAUCAGUGAGGUCGUGUUGGUUUGAUUGUUUAUAUUGACGAUAUGAUUUGUGUAUGUUUCGGUUCCUAUGUGCAGAAAAGAUUAUGAUGCGAAGAUAAUUGUUGAUGUGGAUAUUUCUUCUUUUCUCCAUACCUGGUUAUUGUUUGCAAGUUAUUUUUGCCGAAGAUCGAAAUGCCUAGGAUUAUUUAGGAUCACUUUCUGGUUUGGUUUAGAUUUGGUAGAUUGUUCACCAUGUAGGUAGAAUAUUUUCUGGUUGAUUUGUGGUGUUAGGUAUUGGAAUAAGCAGAAUCAAGGCUUCAGAUCGAAGAUAUUUAAAUUGGUUACGUUGGCCUUCUGUUUGAUUGGGGAAUUUGUGUUUUUAAUGAAUUGCGAUGCAGCUUCACACAGAUCUGAUGAUUGGUUCAUUGAUUGAUUUCAGCUCUAGUAGGAAAGAGAGGGUGAUUCCUGAUAUUAACGCUGUGUUGCGGAUAGCUUGAUAAUCGAUUUAAUAUGAUAUUUUUGGAUUAUUGCAAUUUAUUCCUCUUUUCACGUCUCCACGGAGACAUCCAUUCAAGUUCGGUGAUUUUAAAUGAGUUUCUCUCUCUUGGGUCAAGUGUUAUUUCGUCCCUCCUUCAACAAGUGUUCACAGUUUGAUCAUUUUUUUAAAUCUUUAAACUCUGUUUAAAAUGAUUGUAUGAUGGCUAGCAAAAACGGUUCUUUUGGUGGUUCCUUUCUGUAUCUUUUCAAGAUUGGUGGUUUGUGGUUUGAUUUUCAGGAUCAGGGAGCAUUUUAUGUAAUCCUUUUAAACCUGUCGGCAGGGUAGCGAGGGAGAUUUUCUUUUACCCUCUUUUUUGUGCCCUCGUUAAUUUAAUUGGGCAUGUAGAACUAGUUUCUGUGUUUUGAGCUAACUGUUCGAAGAGAUGUUGACUGUGUAUGAUAAUAACCUAAUGUGAUAAUAUUUAAAUUUUUAGUGCCUCCAAUGUAUCAUACUAUGGAGCAUAGUGUGAUCAAACAUGACGUUGUUUGGGAAGUAUUCUCCUUUUUUGGUCUGGAUUCUCUUAAAAAUGAGAAAUAUCUGAGCUUUGUAAGGCAUCCUGAUCUUCUGCUUCUUUAUCAGGAAGAUAGAUAUAACAAAUUUUACUUAAAAGACAAGAAUUUAUAGUACUUCCGAGUAUAAUAGUAGUAAAUGAGUUUUAGAUGUUUGUUUUCCAGGAUCUGUAUGUCAUGGACCAAUAGUGAUGCAUAAGUGGAUUUGAGUGGGAUUCCAGCGACUGGCAGCUUGUGCCUUGUGGAUAGGCACGAAUAGGAAGUCUUUGUUUGAGUUUUGGUGUAAGAUGUGUUUGAUACAAUGGUAUUCAGUCCUUCAUAGAAGAUGCUCUUUUUUGAUACAAUGGACUUGAGAUGAACUGUAUAUAGGGAGAAGUUGAUGUGAAAGGGAGUAUUCAUCGUCUUCUUUUCAUGUUGGUGGUUUUUAGGUGUAAGCUUUUUUUUUGUCUGUUUCUAUUGGUCCACAGGUGGUGUUGUGGUUAAUUCUGAUAACCAUAGUAAUUUUUCAGGAUUCUGUUAAUGUAGUGGACUAAUGGAUUUGGGGAGAGACAUAUAGAUAGAGAUGUUCUUUUUGCUGCACUCAUUUGGUGUUAGCUACAGCUUAGAUGUAAGCUUGAAUAUUCUAUCUACAACUCAAUAUUUGAUAAUAUCUGUACAGGCUUGAUCCGGAAGUCUUUUUGUACCUUGGUUUUUGGUUGAGUUUUUCUACUUGAGGUUCAAAUUUGUUCUUCUCAAGACCUGUCCAUCAACUUUGAUUAUUCCAAGCAUUGAUGAUUCCCUGGUGUGAUUUCCAGGUCCAUGGAGCAUUUUGGUGGUUGGAUGCUAUGUUCACGGUGAAACCUGGGUAGUCAGGAAGAUUUUUCUUUUAUCUCUCCUUAUUUUUCUGCCAGUUAAAUUUAUACCUCCAUACACUUUAGUCACACAAAACUAGUUUCUGAGUUUCUAUGUGUGUGUUUCCAGCUUUUGACGAAGAUAUGGAGCAGGGAGUUUUCUUGCCUCUUCUGAUGUUUGCUCUUCCCCAUUCUUGUGUGAAUAUUGUUAUAAUACUAGAUUUUCUUUAUCAGGUUUCCUUGGAUCCAGUGGAGCCUUCUCCCUCUCUCUCUCUUCCCUUUUUUUUGCUUGUUUGAGAAAAAUAUUUGGCUCCUUUCCCUUAAUUAUCUCUUCUUAAAUGUGUACAGACAUACACACAUUGCAUAUCCAAUCCUUUAUUUAAUCUCUGCUCCUUCUCAUCUUGGUUAUGAAAUUGAGCAGGCUUUUCUAAUGAUUCCACGUUUGGAUUUGUUUGUCGUUCCUUGUGUUUAGUAAGCUUGCUAUGCUGAUAAUAUAUUUUGUUCAAUCCACUUUGAGUUCUACAGUAUCAUUUAAAGCAAUGAUGUUUUGUCAUUGACCUUUCAAACUUCUUUUGUGUUAGGGGUAGGAGCAAUUUAGCACUGUUCCAUCUUGGUUAUGAUCUUUCCUCAUGUUUUUGCUGAUUAUCUAUUUUAGGAUGUUUGUUUGGUUAUUGGUUCAAAGAUCAUCAUCUGAAGCUACAUUUGGGUUUUUUUNNNNN